This 301-nucleotide ribosomal RNA is filed under the name uncultured bacterium. RNAcentral describes it as "partial 16S ribosomal RNA". It matches the Rfam family "Bacterial small subunit ribosomal RNA", at positions 509 to 807 of the family's 1533-position model. The record is from RNAcentral.
CAGUCGCCACGGUAAUACGAAGGGGGCUAGCGUUGCUCGGAAUUACUGGGCGUAAAGGGCGCGUAGGCGGAUGUUUAAGUCAGAGGUGAAAGCCCAGGGCUCAACCUUGGAACUGCCUUUGAUACUGGACAUCUUGAGUGUGGGAGAGGUGAGUGGAACUCCGAGUGUAGAGGUGAAAUUCGUAGAUAUUCGGAAGAACGCCAGUGGCGAAGGCGACUCACUGGCCCAUUACUGACGCUGAGGCGCGAGAGCGUGGGGAGCAAACAGGAUUAGAUACCCCCGUAGUCCCUGUCUCUUAUAC